AAAGGCCAAUCAAACCCGGAAAUAGCUGGUUCUCCGCGAAAUCUAUUUAGGUAGAGCGUCGUGUAUUACCAUCGGGGGUAGAGCACUGGAUGGGCUAGGGGGGCGCGAGCCUUACCAAACCUAACCAAACUCCGAAUACCGAUGAGUAGAGCACGGCAGACAGACCAUGGGUGCUAAGGUCCAUGGUCGAAAGGGAAACAGCCCAGACCUCCAGCUAAGGUCCCUAAAUUGUGGCUAAGUGGGAAAGGAUGUGGGAAGGCCAAGACAGCCAGGAGGU
RNAcentral lists this ribosomal RNA (277 nucleotides) under Oxyrrhis marina. Its description in RNAcentral is "partial Bacterial large subunit ribosomal RNA". It matches the Rfam family "Bacterial large subunit ribosomal RNA", at positions 824 to 1101 of the family's 2925-position model. The record is from RNAcentral. Lineage: Eukaryota; Dinophyceae; Oxyrrhinales; Oxyrrhinaceae.